CUCGACUUGGAGUGCCAUGGCCGAUGGAACGACUAGAGCAAAGCACAAGAAGAUGCAGGUCAUUGGUGCGUGUUACUCCGCUGAUCAGAAGCAUCUACGGAUCCAUGAACAUGCCCUCCUUUCUUUCAAUCAUGGUGUAAAAUAUGUGAUCGGUUAUUGCAACAAGGUAAGUUAUGAUAAAUGCAUAUAUGUACAUGUUCCGCUGCUCAGUAUAUAUAGUGAAGUCCCGUUGGCGUAUGUAUUAGUACUUAUUGUGCUUCUCUAUCUAAAUAGGGCUAUUUAUUUUUCAGAAUUAUCCCUUUUUCCUUUUUUCAAUGGUUUAUAUACUUUCCCUUAGAAAGUUGGUUCUAUGUUUUUCCUCGUGCAGACAUGAUUUUUUCUACGAACGAAAGCACAUUACGACUUCAGCAAAUUUCUUGCCGUAAUUACUUCGAAUUUUUUUAUGAAAAGAGUUCAUGGAAUAGUUGAAUGAUAUGAUCCCUUGGCAUGA
Molecule: long non-coding RNA, 490 nt
Organism: Lolium rigidum
Lineage: Eukaryota; Viridiplantae; Streptophyta; Magnoliopsida; Poales; Poaceae
Exons: 3
Source: RefSeq, a predicted model, not a curated record